UCCAGCAAGAGGUGGCCGAGACUCACGAU
RNAcentral lists this non-coding RNA (29 nucleotides) under Mus musculus (house mouse). The record is from RNAcentral. Lineage: Eukaryota; Metazoa; Chordata; Mammalia; Rodentia; Muridae.